This is a long non-coding RNA of Eriocheir sinensis (Chinese mitten crab), 1096 nucleotides long. RefSeq lists it as uncharacterized. The transcript is spliced from 4 exons. The record is from RefSeq and is a predicted model, not a curated record. Lineage: Eukaryota; Metazoa; Arthropoda; Malacostraca; Decapoda; Varunidae.
UACAGUAGUUAGUUGAUUUAGUUUUUACUCAUUUAAAUUUAGGUUUUGACAGAGUGGGUGGAUUAAAUUGUGAGGUUACUACUUAACUUAACCUACCAAUGUGUGUAAUAAUAAUAAUAAUAAUAAUUGUGAUUGUAGCAGUGAUAGGUGAAGGGAAAAUAUAGUAGUUAGUUGAUUGAUUUAUUUUUUACUCAUUUAAAUUUAGGUUUUGACAGAGUGGGUGGAUUAAAUUGUGAGGUUACUACUUAACUUAUCCUACCAACAUGUAUAAUAAUAAUAAUAAUAAUAAUUGUGAUCGUAGCAGUGAUAGGUGAAGGGAAAAUACAGUAGUUAGUUGAUUGAUUGAUUUUUUACUCAUUUAAAUUUAGGUUUUGACAGAAUGGGUGGAUUAAAUUGUGAGGUUACUACUAUUACAAUUACUACUACUACUACUACAAAAAGCAUUAAAUAGGGUGUGGUUGCUACUAUUACUACCACUACUACAACUAUUAGGUUUUGACAGGGGGUUAAAUUGUGUGAGGUUACUACUAUUACUACCACUACUACAACUAUUAGGUUUUGACAGGGGGUUAAAUUGUGUGAGGUUACUACUAUUACUACCACUACUACAACUAUUAGGUUUUGACAGGGGGUUAAAUUGUGUGAGGUUACUACUAUUACUACCACUACUACAACUAUUAGGUUUUGACAGGGGGUUAAAUUGUGUGAGGUUACUACUAUUACUACCACUACUACAACUAUUAGGUCUUGACAGGGGGUUAAGUUGUGUGAGGUUACUACUAUUACUACCACUACUACAACUAUUAGGUUUUGACAGAGGGUUAAAUUGUGUGAGGUUACUACUAUUACUACCACUACUACAACUAUUAGGUUUUGACAGGGGGUUAAAUUGUGUGAGGUUACUACUAUUACUACCACUACUACAACUAUUAGGUUUUGACAGGGGGUUAAAUUGUGUGAGGUUACUACUAUUACUACCACUACUACAACUAUUAGGUCUUGACAAAGGGUUAAAUUGUGUGUGGUUACUACUAUUACUACCACAACUACAACUAUUAGGUCUUGACAGAGGGUUAAAUUGUGUGAGGUUACUACU